GUUAAAAAAACGAGCAUCUGAAAUCAUUGUAUAGUUUACGUAUCGUAAGUAAACACAUGAUCAGACAGACUAUGAUGCAAAUUCCAAAAAUUGUCUGACAUCAAAAUCUAUAUAGCUUUUUGCUCACAUGAUUUUUAGUCACCCACUUUUCUCUUCAAUUUUGUAAUCAACUGACGCUAUUUAAAAUUAACUUUUCAUUUUGUCGUUUUUGCUUCUGCUGAAUAGUCUUUCGUUUUAUUCCAAAAAAAUCAAACCGCACACACAAGUAUGGGAGAGCCAUCAAGCGGAUCUGGACAGAACAGCAGCACAACAGGACAGGCUUCUCAGUCAUCUGGUCAGUCUGGCAACACUGCAUCACACACAGGUGCCUUCAAAGACUAAUGAAGAUUAGAUUCAUGGCGUUUUGUAAAUAAAAACUGAAAUUCGAUCAUCGCAUCUCCAUGGUCUGCCAUCUAUCACAUGGGUUGAUCUCCCACUGGAAAAAUGCGCAAAACAACAGAAAAACGAUCAUCACCAUAUAUGAAAUACCAAAAUUUCAUCAUCAAUAGAACCAUCAUAUAUUGGUCGUAAUUUAGUAUUGGUUUUGCGCUUAAACAAACAACAAUUUUAGCGAUGAGUUAUCGCCGAUUUUGACAAUUCAAAAUCAUGAAGAUCGGCCCUAACAAGAUGGCUCAAACCUAUACUUUACAUAUCUAAAAUUUUCAGAUUUUUCUCUGAUUGA
This is a long non-coding RNA of Symsagittifera roscoffensis, 721 nucleotides long. RefSeq lists it as uncharacterized. The transcript is spliced from 3 exons. NCBI's taxonomy places the organism in Eukaryota, Metazoa, Xenacoelomorpha, Acoela, Convolutidae. The record is from RefSeq and is a predicted model, not a curated record.